ACGAACGCUGGCAGCAUGCCUAACACAUGCAAGUCGAACGAGACCUUCGGGUCUAGUGGCGCACGGGUGCGUAACGCGUGGGAACCUGCCCUUAGGUUCGGAAUAACUCCCCGAAAGGGGUGCUAAUACCGGAUAAUGUCUUCGGACCAAAGAUUUAUCGCCUUUGGAUGGGCCCGCGUUGGAUUAGCUAGUUGGUAGGGUAAAAGCCUACCAAGGCGACGAUCCAUAGCUGGUCUGAGAGGAUGAUCAGCCACACUGGGACUGAGACACGGCCCAGACUCCUACGGGAGGCAGCAGUGGGGAAUAUUGGACAAUGGGCGAAAGCCUGAUCCAGCAAUGCCGCGUGAGUGAUGAAGGCCUUAGGGUUGUAAAGCUCUUUUACCCGGGAUGAUAAUGACAGUACCGGGAGAAUAAGCUCCGGCUAACUCCGUG
This 432-nucleotide ribosomal RNA is filed under the name uncultured bacterium. RNAcentral describes it as "partial 16S ribosomal RNA". It matches the Rfam family "Bacterial small subunit ribosomal RNA", at positions 29 to 507 of the family's 1533-position model. The record is from RNAcentral.